UAAUUCUGCCCNCUGAAUAAUUUUAAAGGGCUGCAGUAUAUUGACUGUACAAAGGUAGCAUAAUCAAUAGUCUUUUAAUUGAAGACUUGUAUGAAUGAUUUGAUGAAAUAUAAACUGUCUCUUUAUUAAAAAUAAAAUUUAAUUUUUUAGUUAAAAAGCUAAAAUAAAUAUAAAAGACGAGAAGACCCUAUAGAGUUUUAUAAUUAUUAUGAUUUAUUUCAAUUUAUAUAUUUUAAAAAUAAAUUAUAAUGAAUAUUUUAUUGGGGUGAUAGAAAAAUUUAAUAAACUUUUUUUAAAAAUUAAACAUUGAUUUAUGAAAAUAUGAUCCAUAAUUUAUGAUUACAAGAAUUAAUUACCUUAGGGAUAACAGCGUAAUUUUUUUUUUUAGUCCGAAUAAAAAAAAAAGUUUGCGACCUCGAUGUUGGAUUAAGAUAAAAUUUAAAUGCAAAAGUUUAAAAUUU
Molecule: ribosomal RNA, 461 nt
Filed under: Eurema brigitta (small grass yellow)
Lineage: Eukaryota; Metazoa; Arthropoda; Insecta; Lepidoptera; Pieridae
Description: partial 16S ribosomal RNA
Source: RNAcentral